UUUCUCUCAAGGUCACACCUGGAGAGUUUCCAGGAGUUUACCAGUCUCGGCUAUGGGAGGGAGAGUCAAGCAGAGGCAUAUCCAUUCCAUUCCUAGCUUGGGCAGUGGCUAGUCAGUGGAAGACAAUCUGCUACAAGU
This 138-nucleotide small nucleolar RNA is filed under the name Ornithorhynchus anatinus (platypus). The record is from RNAcentral. Lineage: Eukaryota; Metazoa; Chordata; Mammalia; Monotremata; Ornithorhynchidae.